CGUGAACCAUCGAGUCUUUGAACGCAAGUUGCGCCCGAGGCCAUCAGGCUAAGGGCACGCCUGCCUGGGCGUUGCGUGCUGCAUCUCUCUCCCAUUGCUAAGGCUGAACAGGCAUACUGUUCGGCCGGCGCGGAUGAGUGUUUGGCCCCUUGUUCUUCGGUGCGAUGGGU
Molecule: ribosomal RNA, 170 nt
Filed under: Phragmipedium exstaminodium
Lineage: Eukaryota; Viridiplantae; Streptophyta; Magnoliopsida; Asparagales; Orchidaceae
Description: 5.8S ribosomal RNA
Rfam family: 5.8S ribosomal RNA (bases 1-74)
Source: RNAcentral